GAUGAACGCUGGCGGCGUGCCUAAUACAUGCAAGUCGAGCGAACAGACGAGGAGCUUGCUCCUCUGACGUUAGCGGCGGACGGGUGAGUAACACGUGGAUAACCUACCUAUAAGACUGGGAUAACUUCGGGAAACCGGAGCUAAUACCGGAUAAUAUAUUGAACCGCAUGGUUCAAUAGUGAAAGACGGUUUUGCUGUCACUUAUAGAUGGAUCCGCGCCGCAUUAGCUAGUUGGUAAGGUAACGGCUUACCAAGGCGACGAUGCGUAGCCGACCUGAGAGGGGGAUCGGCCACAAUGGAACUGAGACACGGUCCAGACUCCUACGGGAGGCAGCAGUAGGGAAUCUUCCGCAAUGGGCGAAAGCCUGACGGAGCAACGCCGCGUGAGUGAUGAAGGUCUUCGGAUCGUAAAACUCUGUUAUGAGGGAAGAACAAAUGUGUAAGUAACUAUGCACGUCGUGACGGUACCUAAUCAGAAAGCCACGGCUAACUACGUG
Molecule: ribosomal RNA, 497 nt
Filed under: uncultured bacterium
Lineage: Bacteria
Description: partial 16S ribosomal RNA
Rfam family: Bacterial small subunit ribosomal RNA
Source: RNAcentral